This 702-nucleotide ribosomal RNA is filed under the name uncultured Gammaproteobacteria bacterium. RNAcentral's name for it is "bacterial SSU rRNA". It matches the Rfam family "Bacterial small subunit ribosomal RNA", at positions 116 to 814 of the family's 1533-position model. The record is from RNAcentral. Lineage: Bacteria; Pseudomonadati; Pseudomonadota; Gammaproteobacteria.
CUUUGGAAUCUUCCCAGUAGUGGGGAAUAACCAGUCGAAAGAUUGGCUAAUACCGCAUACGUCCGAAAGGGGAAAGCAGGGGAUCGUAAGACCUUGCGCUAUUGGAUGAGCCAAAGUCGGAUUAGCUAGUUGGUGAGGUAAUGGCUCACCAAGGCGACAAUCCGUAGCUGGUCUGAGAGGACGACCAGCCACACCGGAACUGAGACACGGUCCGGACUCCUACGGGAGGCAGCAGUGGGGAAUAUUGGACAAUGGGGGAAACCCUGAUCCAGCGACGCCGCGUGUGUGAAGAAGGCCUGCGGGUUGUAAAGCACUUUUAGUGGGGACAAAAAGCCAAGGGCUAAUACCUUUUGGUCUUGAUUUAACUCACAGAAAAAGCACCGGCUAACUCUGUGCCAGCAGCCGCGGUAAUACAGAGGGUGCGAGCGUUAAUCGGAAUUACUGGGCGUAAAGCGCGCGUAGACGGUUUUGUAAGUCAGAUGUGAAAUCCCCGGGCUCAACCUGGGAACUGCAUUUGAUACUGCAUGGCUAGAGUACGGUAGAGGGAAGCGGAAUUUCCGGUGUAGCGGUGAAAUGCGUAGAUAUCGGAAGGAACACCAGUGGCGAAAGCGGCUUCCUGGACCAGUACUGACGUUCAUGUGCGAAAGCGUGGGGAGCAAACAGGAUUAGAUACCCUGGUAGUCCACGCCAUAAACGAUGACA